CAGUCGCCGCGGUAAAACGUAGGGUGCAAGCGCUAAUCGGAAUUACUGGGCGUAAAGCGUGCGCAGGCGGUUAUAUAAGACAGAUGUGAAAUCCCCGGGCUCAACCUGGGAACUGCAUUUGUGACUGUAUAGCUAGAGUACGGCAGAGGGGGAUGGAAUUCCGCGUGUAGCAGUGAAAUGCGUAGAUAUGCGGAGGAACACCGAUGGCGAAGGCAAUCCCCUGGGCCUGUACUGACGCUCAUGCACGAAAGCGUGGGGAGCAAACAGGAUUAGAUACCCCGGUAGUUCCUGUCUCUUAUAC
Molecule: ribosomal RNA, 301 nt
Filed under: uncultured bacterium
Lineage: Bacteria
Description: partial 16S ribosomal RNA
Rfam family: Bacterial small subunit ribosomal RNA
Source: RNAcentral